GUUGGCUAUGGAGACAUGUGUCCCACCACCUUGGGUGGGAAGAUCGUGGGGACUCUGUGCGCCAUUGCAGGGGUAUUGACCAUUGCGCUGCCCGUCCCCGUCAUCGUCUCGAAC
This is a non-coding RNA of Podiceps cristatus (great crested grebe), 114 nucleotides long. The record is from Rfam. Lineage: Eukaryota; Metazoa; Chordata; Aves; Podicipediformes; Podicipedidae.